GAGUUUGAUCAUGGCUCAGAUUGAACGCUGGCGGCAUGCUUUACACAUGCAAGUCGAACGGCAGCGCGGGGCAACCUGGCGGCGAGUGGCGAACGGGUGAGUAAUAUAUCGGAACGUACCCAGAAGUGGGGGGAUAACGUAGCAAAAGUUACGGCUAAUACCGCAUACGAUCUUACGGAUGAAAGUGGGGGAUCGCAAGACCUCAUGCUCCUGGAGCGGCCGAUAUCUGAUUAGCUAGUUGGUGAGGUUAAAGGCUCACCAAGGCGACGAUCAGUAGCUGGUCUGAGAGGACGACCAGCCACACUGGACUGAGACACGGUCCAGACU
This 327-nucleotide ribosomal RNA is filed under the name uncultured microorganism. Its description in RNAcentral is "bacterial SSU rRNA". It matches the Rfam family "Bacterial small subunit ribosomal RNA", at positions 9 to 337 of the family's 1533-position model. The record is from RNAcentral.